Molecule: ribosomal RNA, 497 nt
Filed under: uncultured bacterium
Lineage: Bacteria
Description: partial 16S ribosomal RNA
Rfam family: Bacterial small subunit ribosomal RNA
Source: RNAcentral
GAUGAACGCUGGCGGCGUGCCUAAUACAUGCCAGUCGAGCGAACGGACGAGAAGCUUGCUUCUCUGAUGUUAGCGGCGGACGGGUGAGUAACACGUGGAUAACCUACCUAUAAGACUGGGAUAACUUCGGGAAACCGGAGCUAAUACCGGAUAAUAUUUUGAACCGCAUGGUUCAAAAGUGAAAGACGGUCUUGCUGUCACUUAUAGAUGGAUCCGCGCUGCAUUAGCUAGUUGGUAAGGUAACGGCUUACCAAGGCAACGAUGCAUAGCCGACCUGAGAGGGUGAUCGGCCACACUGGAACUGAGACACGGUCCAGACUCCUACGGGAGGCAGCAGUAGGGAAUCUUCCGCAAUGGGCGAAAGCCUGACGGAGCAACGCCGCGUGAGUGAUGAAGGUCUUCGGAUCGUAAAACUCUGUUAUUAGGGAAGAACAGAUGUGUAAGUAACUGUGCACAUCUUGACGGUACCUAAUCAGAAAGCCACGGCUAACUACGUG